Long non-coding RNA from Panthera uncia (snow leopard), 3455 nucleotides. RefSeq lists it as uncharacterized. The record is from RefSeq and is a predicted model, not a curated record. The transcript is spliced from 3 exons. Lineage: Eukaryota; Metazoa; Chordata; Mammalia; Carnivora; Felidae.
AGAGAGAGAGAGAGGGAGACACAGAAUCCGAAGCAGGCUCCAGGCUCCAAGCUGUCAGCACAGAGCCCGACAUGGGCCUCGAACUCACGGACCUUGAGAUCAUGACCUGAGCCAAAGUCAGAUGCUUAACCACCUGAGCCACCCUGGUGCCCCAGGGCUCACCACUUUUGACUGUAGGAGCUGAGAUGUGAACAGAGGCAGUUUGGCAUUGAGUACGUUGCUACUCAUGACAGUAACCCCCAAUGAGAGGAUGCUUGCAGAACUUCCGUGACAAGUUGAGUUCCACUUUGUGCACGGUGGAUGUGUUCCAUGUCCAACUGUAUGGCAAAAAUCACAUACUGUAAAUGUUAUUUUUAAAAAACCCUUAAAUCUUCAUUUUUUUUCUCCUUUCAGCCCUCCUUCUUUACCUCUCCCCCAUCCUUUUUUACUUUUAUUUCCCAGCCAAGUACAGAUAUUUUCAUUCAUAUAAUUAAACAGAAUUGUGUACUGUAAAGGUCCAGAAUUCCAUCCGCGUGUAAGGUCCCAGUGUUAUGCGGUUGUUACAGACUGACUUGUGUCCCCUGAAAUUGGUAUGUUGAAGCUAUAGUCCCCACUGCAACCGUACGGGGGGUUAGGUCCUCUGUAGAGGUGAUUAGGGUCGCAUGAGGUCAUAAGGGGGGUCCUAACCCAGUAGGACUGCUUUCACAAGAGGAGGAAGAGACCGGAGCUGUUGCUCACGCAGAGGAUGUCACACAUCGCUCUGAGGAUACCGCAAGAAGGUGGCCGUCUGUAAGCCAAGGAGAGAAGCCUCCAGAGCAACCGUGCCAACGCCAUGAUUCUGAACUUCUAGCCCCCAUGUUUAUUGUGAGAAGACAAGUAGACCAGGCCCCUGGUGUGCCAUACUUUGUCAUGGCAGCCUGAGCGGAUGGAGACAGCCCAAACCUGCCUGACACGCCAGAUUGCUCUUUACUGACUUCACUUCAAGCAUGGUUGGUUGUUUUAUUUUAUUUCUUUUUUAUUUUCUUCCUUGUCAAGUUAGCUAGCAUUCGGUGUAGUCUCGGCUUUCAGGAGGAGAUUUGUCACUUACCUGCAGCACCCAGUGCUCAUCCCAGCCAGCGCCCCCCCCACCCCCAUCAACACUCUGUAUUUAAUUUUUUAAGAGUUUCAUAUUUGUUUCUCAGAACCAGAACUGAGCGGUUUCCUUGCAGAGGCCGCUACCGUCGCACCCUGUCCAAAGGCCAGAUCUGAGCGGCCAGCGUGCUGUGUCGCUGCAUGUGACCCUGCGUGGGCAGAAGGCCACACCUCUAGCGACCCGGGAACUUGGAAGGGUUGACAGCAUCUCUCCAAUUGUAAGCGCCCUCCCUCCGUCGCCCGCUUUCACGCAACCAGCCCGCUUGCCGAAGUGAGCCCUGGUAGAGACAGGUCACAGAGCACUUCAAACCUGGCAACUGGAGGAAAUUGCGAACACAGGGUGAAUGCAUGGGGUUUGCUCAUGAGCUGCUCUCCUGCUCACCUGCCUCAUGCUGGAGGCCCUGCUGGGGUGACUGAGGAACAGCUAGAAGAAGGGAAAGCCAAAGGAUGCUGCCAGGAACACCGGGCACCUGGACAGUCCUAUUAAGAUCGAGAAGAAUGGAGGGGGCGCCUGGGUGGCUCAGUCAGUUAAGUGUCCGACUUCGGCUCAGGUCAUGAUCUCGCAGUUCGUGAGUUCCAGCCCCACGUCGGGCUCUGUGCUGACACCUCGGAGCCUGGAGCCUGCUUCGGAUUCUGUGUCUCCCUCUCUCCCUCCCUGCCCCUCUCCCACUCGUGCUCUGUCUGUCUCUGUCUCUCAAAAAUAAAUAAACAUUAAAAAUUUCUUUAAAAAAAUUAUCAAGAAGAAUGGAGCCACGUCAGGGCCGGGCAUUUCCCUCACUUAUGUCUGUAGUCCCCAGUUCUAGAAAAAUGCCUGGCACCCUGGAGGUGUUCAAGUGCACGUGCUGAGUAGAAUGAGCUAAUGAAGGCACGGAUGGAAAGGACACACGUUUCUCAUUUAUUCCACCAACAGUUUUGCGUGAACUAGAUAAUGAGAGCUGAGGGAAAGAAGAUCCCCAGGUGCCCCAUGCAGGGGUUUUCAAGCCGCUGUGUCUCAUCCUCAAGGGAAUACAAGAUGGAGGCAGAAAGCCAUCAGAGGGUGGAGCGUUAGCUUCCGCACAGAAGCUCAGCCCACGUUCCCAACCCCGCCACCAUGAAGACACGCACGUCGAACUCUGUGUGGCGUGGAGGAGGAGACGAGACCUUCUUUCAGAAACACCCAGACCGCGUGGACUGCUUGCCAUGUGAUGCGUUCGUUGAAGGGGACAGGAAGUGUUUCCUCCAAAGCAAAGGAGACCAAGAAAUGGGAAGUGACAUCACGUUCCAUUUCACUCUAUGAAAAACCAGCUUGAGUCUUUCCAGGAGGGUACUGCCCAUCUCCCCGGCCCCUGUGACCAGCACCUCCGGGUUGUGACAUGUGAGCUGGUUGAGAUGGUGUGGUUUGGGGACAGGUGGAGAUGGUUGGAGUUUCCUCUUUUAUGAACCAGAAGAUCCCUGUAGACCCCUCAGUGGGGUUGGGGUUUUUCUGCCUAGCCCAGACACCCUGUUGCCUAUGGUGGACCCAUGUCGGUCGGUGCUCCUGGGUUAGGCCACUAUCUCCACCUCAGGUAAUGAAAUGGUUUUAAUCCCUGUCUGCUCUCUUACCUUUUCACCUCACACACUUCUUUGUUUUCCAUUAGGGUUCAUGUCAGUUUGUUUCUUCUGGUUUUGGGUUUGAAGGCUCAUAAGAAAAUAACUCAAAGCGUAAGACAGAAGAAUACAGUAGCAGGAAGAGAGCGAGACAUGGAGAUGUAUACGCACACACAUGUGCACGGACACGCACACAACUCAGUACCACGUCAUGACUGAGACAGAGAUUGCAGUGAUGAGGCUGCAAGACGAUGAACGCAGGGUUGCUGGCCACCCCAGAAGCUGGAAGAGGCCACCCAGUUUGUAGUGCUUCCUGAUGGCAGCCACAAGAAGCUAAUAUAAUGCCUAAGGAGGUGAUUUGUACAAGAGUCCUUCUGGGCUGAGAGAAAGAGGUCUGAACUGGAGGAUGAGAAGACCCUAAGGGAGAAUGUUCCAGGCAGAGGGAAGAGCACUCGUUUGGGCAACGUGAUGCUAUCUCAUUUAUACUUAAGAAUCAUUAUGCAAUGCAACUAUCAUAAACACUAAGAAAAUAAAUAGGUGUGAAAUUGUAUAGCAUGUUUCCAUCCCUGGAAUGAUUGAAAUAGGUAUUAUUAUGUUAUAUUAUCCCAGUGGACGUAAAUAAAAAGCAUUCAUACUUUAAUAAAGAUUACCUACUUGCAGUGAAAUGUGUUAUAGUGAAAGUCAUUUGCACUUCCUCAGAGUAUUAAAAAUACCGCCGUUUUCAGAACCGUAAGGGACAUUCGAGGUUAUCUCUGGAAGAACUCUCUUGUUAAAGCUGA